Dermatophagoides farinae (American house dust mite) is the source of this 1260-nucleotide non-coding RNA. The record is from RefSeq and is a predicted model, not a curated record. Lineage: Eukaryota; Metazoa; Arthropoda; Arachnida; Sarcoptiformes; Pyroglyphidae.
UCAACUAUUUUACAUGUGUGAUUUUAAUGAGUUUGAUAUUGAUAUAUGAGCAUUUCAUCAUCAUUGACAUUUUGCGUUUACGAUUAAAGAAACACGAUAAAACGACUUUCUUAUUUUGAUGUACGCCUCUUUUAUAUCGCUUUGAUCAUCGAUUCUUAAAUUGAUCAAAGUUUUUGGUCUGUGUUUAUGUAUGCUUUUGCCUUUUCAUCACAUCUUUGAUUUUCUUUCAAGUCUUUAAUCGUUAAUUUUGGUUGUUCAUCUUGAAUUAAAUAAACAUAAUAUAUUCUUCUUGGUAGAAUAAACUACAUCUAUCGAAUAAAAUAUUGGAUGAUCAAUAGAAAAAACAUGAAUUUACCACAACAAUUUUGCCGUGCCAUCAAAGAGUCGUUGGCCGAUAAUGUUGUCAAUCAAAUGAUCGAAAGAAUAAUGAAUCAUUUUCCAUUAGAAUCAAAUAUUUGUCUUUCCAAUUCCAGCUGUAACAUUGAAUUGAUGUUAAUGUUCAUCGAGAAUUCCAUUCAGUCAUUCAGGAAAGCAGAUAAUAGUAAAUUGGUAUUGAUCAAUGAAGAAAUGUUACAUAAUCGUUCCAAACUAAUGCAAAAAUUCAUUAUACAAGACGAUAUACACUUGUUAGAUUUUCUGGUCAAUGUUAUUGAAUUUUUACAUAAACAACAAUUAUCAUUACCAGAAAUUGAUAAAGCUGUUAAUGUAUUAAAUUUUGAAGAAGUAAUACCGCUUUACAUUCGUAAUCAUUGGACAUUCGCACGAAAACCAAAUGGUGAACCAUCCAGUGUUGAGGAUCGUCUACAAGUCGUUCGUCAAUGUCUUCAUUUUAAAUGCUGGAUUUAUUAUUACACUGAUCCUAAUGAAUACUUUUAAUGUGUUGAUACAUUUCAAAUGCAGAAUAUGCAAAGUUUCCAUUAUUUUGUCUUGUCAUUCAUGUCUCUGUUUUUCUAUAAAAUUAUCAUCGAUUAAAGACAAAACAACAUAGAAUUUAUCCCGAACAACUUAUUAUUUGAGAUCUCAUUUUUUUGGCAAAAGAAAAAACAAAUUGUCAAGAAAUUUUUUGUCUAUUUCAUCAAUCUUGAUAUUUUUUUUUCUCGUUGUUACAUCAUUUGUUCAAUGUUUUAAAUUUUAUAUCAUCAUUAUAAUUUAUGUUAUAUGAAACGAUGAAUAAAGAGACAUUAAAACUUUAAAAUUCUUCCGUCUUAAUAAUUUCUAGAGUUUAGAAAAUCAACCGACCAUUUUAAAAUUUUUUCCAAU